UUUAUUCUCAUGCUUGAGCCCUCUAAUCUCCUGUUUGAGACUCAUCACUUCAGCCGCCAAUGAUUCAACUUGGCGGGUUCGAGCAAAUAGGCGCUGGGCCAUAUUAGACACAGAACCUGCACACUGAACACUUAGAGCCAGAGAAUCCUUAACAGCCAACUCAUCAGACCGUUUAGAAAAUAGUCUGUUAUCUUUGGGAGUGAGA
RNAcentral lists this long non-coding RNA (205 nucleotides) under Malus domestica (apple). RNAcentral's name for it is "long non-coding RNA (MDOM_LNC010810)". Lineage: Eukaryota; Viridiplantae; Streptophyta; Magnoliopsida; Rosales; Rosaceae. The record is from RNAcentral.